Oncorhynchus masou masou (cherry salmon) is the source of this 613-nucleotide long non-coding RNA. RefSeq lists it as uncharacterized. Lineage: Eukaryota; Metazoa; Chordata; Actinopteri; Salmoniformes; Salmonidae. The transcript has 3 exons. The record is from RefSeq and is a predicted model, not a curated record.
GUUAAACAAACAAACUUUCAUGGAGGACUGAGGAGGAUGCAUUUUGAAUUGUGGAGAGAAGAGGACAGACAUGUCACAACAAUGGCAGAUUGAGGAGACCACAUGGUAGACUUUGCAUUGCAUCUGUGUGCGACUGCCUUGAGCAGCAGUCUGAGGGACUUUGCAGGCAAAAUGCCGUGCAGUAAGGCGUAGGGGAUUGUCUGCAGCAGGACGACCCUCAGUGGAUGGACGCCGAGGGUGUGGUGCUCCUCCAGCAGCUUUCUCAUGAGAUUCUCUCUGUUCUUUUGGUGGUCCACCUUCCCUGUGGCCGACAUGAUCGCUGUAUGGACAGUGGAAAGGACAUGGAUGUCUCGUUUGCCAUGUCACUUUACUGCCAACCGUUACCUGUUCUCCUGGAACUCCACCUCCCCCUCUGCAUCUUCCUGCCUCCGAAUGCCGGCAUCCCUUUCCUCUUCUACCAAACCGUGCCACAGGUCCCAGUGCUGUUGGAGAGCAGAAGCUGGAAGAUUGUUGUACCAAUUCAAAUAAAUAUCAAAUGUUAUUGGUCGCGUACAGAUAAUUGGCAGAUGUUAUUGCAGGUGUAGCUAAAUGCUUAUGUUCCUAGCGGCAAUAG